GAUGAACGCUGGCGGCGUGCCUAAUACAUGCAAGUCGAGCGAACAGACGAGGAGCUUGCUCCUCUGACGUUAGCGGCGGACGGGUGAGUAACACGUGGAUAACCUACCUAUAAGACUGGGAUAACUUCGGGAAACCGGAGCUAAUACCGGAUAAUAUAUUGAACCGCAUGGUUCAAUAGUGAAAGACGGUUUUGCUGUCACUUAUAGAUGGAUCCGCGCCGCAUUAGCUAGUUGUUACGGUAACGGCUUACCAAGGCCACGAUGCGUAGCCGACCUGAGGGGGGGGUAGGCCACACUGGAACGGAGACACGGUCCAGACUACUGCGGGAGGGAGCAGUAGGGAACCUGCCGCAAUGGGCGAAAGCUUGACGGAGCAACGCCGAGUGAGUGAUGGAGGUCUUCGGAGCGGAAAACUCUGUUACUGGGGAAGAACAAAUGUGGAAGUAACCAUGGACGUAUUGACGGUAACUAAUAAGAAAGCAACGGCUAACUACGUG
This 497-nucleotide ribosomal RNA is filed under the name uncultured bacterium. RNAcentral's name for it is "partial 16S ribosomal RNA". It matches the Rfam family "Bacterial small subunit ribosomal RNA", at positions 28 to 507 of the family's 1533-position model. The record is from RNAcentral.